UAUGUACCUGAUUGUAACCACUACUCCAAUAAGCAAAUGUGCAUUUUCUCGUUUUCCGACCUCUGUAAGUGAAAGGCGUCGCUGGAGCCAUGUGAUAAGAUGGGCGGACUGGAAACCCAGUGACAACAUUCGGGUCUAUAAAGAUGGUGAUACAGCAUUGGAAAAAGACCUACCACUGACCAAAGGUAGUGCAUCCCUCAGGCCAUCCGGUGCAUGGACAUCCUGUGCCAGUGUGAUCCAGUUGUGGAGACUACAGCAGAUCGAGCCUGUGGACGGACAGACAUGAGGCGUGACAUGUGGAACAUCAGGCUCACCCCAUGAGAAGCAGUGCAUGAUCAAAGCCACCUUCAGCAAGUUGAUCUGUUGGAAGUGAUGUACUCUCUCUCUCUCUGGGGGUAAGACAUAAUUUAAACAUCACAGAUAGAAAUUCCCAGUGUGCCCAUGAUAAAAUGCAAUGUGAAUUGUGUUGUACCACUGAAUGAAACUGUGAGGAGAUGCACUCAGACCAGCCUUUGUGAUUGAACUUGCGUUAACUACUGUACAUUACUUUAGUUGGCUCUUUUGAGCAAAACUUGUAUGUAAUAUAGCCUAUUCUGGCAGCCUAGUGUGUGUGUAUGUGGAAUAUUUCUGGACCAUUGGCUUCCCUGAAAACAGUUACUGACAGGAGGAGCAAUAUGAGUCUGUCAGAGGUCAUCACGCUGAUGGGGAUGGUGAUGGAGGCUUUGGUGGUCCACACAACGAAGAAGCAGGUGUCCCUUCCAGUGAUGUGGAGCUGACCUUAAGGAUUGUCUUCACGGAGGCUGUAAGAGCCUCCCUCCUUGAUAUAGCAAUCCUUCGACUUCACUGCCUUUUCAAUGGUAAGGUCCACCACUGCUGUGGUGCCCACCAGACGAUUCGGUGAGGUACCCAGGAUCCCAGACCCCGUGACCCAAAGCCUGGACUCCUGCACAUCCAUCCCUGUAGCCGUUUGCCUUGAUGCCUCACUGGAUGGUCUGGUGCCCUCCUCUUCGUUAUAUGUCUCCCACUUUACAGACAACACCCCAUCCAACAACUGUGAUCUGUGGACCCUUUUUAGCAGCAGCAGAGUUAGCUUGGCCCUAACCAUUGCUCCAUAAUUGCUGGCCAUUAACCAUUCUCUCCUCAUGGUGUGCCAGUUGGGGUUGGUGCGCUGUCAAACUGUUGCCUGCCCUAUAGCCUCAUGCAGCCAUGAUGCCUGCAUGCCCCAGGUGCCCUUGCUUUUUAACAAUGUCCGGUACAGACAGGGGUGACAGGGAUGACAGGGAGGGUAUCGGUUGUUCUGGUUCAGGUUCAAGGAGACAUGCCAUUCCACUGAACCUGCCCCGGAGACGGUUCCUUAGCGACUGAAGAUCCUCCUCUGUGGUCUCUCGGGACAGAGGGUGGUAGUCUUCGGCCGGGUACAGGUCAUCCACUGACUGCACCUGGUUGGGCACGGCUGGCUUCCUCCACUCGCAUUCCACAUCCGUACGGACGAUAUUGUGAACCGCCAAAAUAGGCUGCAUGGCUAUACUUAUGAGGUCCAUGGAGGCAUUCGCAUGUGGUAGAGAGAAUCCCCUAGUCACCUAUAGAGACCUGCCAAGAGGAAGAAUGUUAAGUGCCACGCCUUUCAAUGCAUGACUUUGAACACCUUGAAAUGCAUUCGUUGU
Coregonus clupeaformis (lake whitefish) is the source of this 1664-nucleotide long non-coding RNA. RefSeq lists it as uncharacterized. The record is from RefSeq and is a predicted model, not a curated record. Lineage: Eukaryota; Metazoa; Chordata; Actinopteri; Salmoniformes; Salmonidae. The transcript is spliced from 4 exons.